RNAcentral lists this ribosomal RNA (162 nucleotides) under uncultured bacterium. RNAcentral describes it as "partial 16S ribosomal RNA". It matches the Rfam family "Bacterial small subunit ribosomal RNA", at positions 338 to 524 of the family's 1533-position model. The record is from RNAcentral.
CCUACGGGAGGCAGCAGCCGCGGUAAUAGGGGCAACCCUGACCGAGCAACGCCGCGUGCAGGACGACGGCCUUCGGGUUGUAAACUGCUUUUCUUGAGGACGAGAAUGGACGGUACUCAAGGAAGAAGCCCCGGCUAACUACGUGCCAGCAGCCGCGGUAAU